This 998-nucleotide long non-coding RNA is filed under the name Mus musculus (house mouse). Its description in RNAcentral is "RIKEN cDNA 4930568G15 gene (4930568G15Rik)". The record is from RNAcentral. Lineage: Eukaryota; Metazoa; Chordata; Mammalia; Rodentia; Muridae.
AGAGGCGGCUGCCGUUGCCCUGGUAACUUCACCUGAUCCGGGGCGGUAUCUAGGGUUUCAGAUCACAUGCCUCCAAGUUAAUGUCCACAUCUGAAACAUCAACUCCUCUACUGAGUUAACAAAUCAGUGGGUCAUUCUUCAAAGAUGAUGCCCUUUGCUCAAGAGUGAACGGGGAAGAAGGAGCUCAUGUGUGUGAGGAGGAUGCAAGGAUCUGUGGGAUCCAGACAACACCCUUGUGCCUUGCUAGGAGUAGAGGAGAUGGGCUAGCUAUGCAAAGAGCAGACGCCGGGAAAGUACCGCACUCCCAAAGUGUGUGGAGGCAAUCGCUUUGUUUUGGUCCGGCAGGAAAGAUUAAAAUGAAAAGGUGGAUAAUGCGGAUGAUGAUGGUCUUCGCGCAGGAGGAUGCUCCAGGAGAACUGUCUGCAGGAACGGAAUGGCCUUGUUGCUUUCUCUCUCAGAUAAAAUGUAUAGCACACGGUUAAAAAUGAUAUGGUACACAAGGAAAUAAAAUACAGAGGGAGAGAGAGAGAGCAGAAGCCGAAGACUGUCCAGACACAUGGGCGAUACAGACGCUGGAACUCUGCCGGGCAGCAACAGAGGGGAUACUGAGUAAAGGUCAGACAGGAGGAGAGUGAGGCUGAAUCUGUAGCCGGAGACACAGGAAGACAACAACGAUGAGCUGUGGCCCAGUGGACAUGGAUGUUGACCUGUGAUCGUCAUCGUCUUCACCACCCUCAUGCCGACCAGAAGAGAGAAGUGUGCGCAGAAGGAAGUACAGAAUGUCAGAGGCAUAAAAGCAAAGACAGAGUCAGAGAAGCAGAGAGGACUUUAAAGGAUGUAGGGACGCUGCAUUAUCUAGGAUAAGAUUAUUAACAUCAAAUUUUGAUGCAGGUCCACAAAUAUUAUAAUUUCAAGGGUAAUUAUGGAAUGAGUCACAAAUGCUUAUAAUAGAAGGGAAAAUGAAUAAUUGAAAUAAAAGCAAUUAAGUGUGUAGAGAG